UACGUAGGGUGCGAGCGUUAAUCGGAAUUACUGGGCGUAAAGCGUGCGCAGGCGGUUUUGUAAGCCAGAUGUGAAAUCCCCGGGCUUAACCUGGGAAUGGCAUUUGGGACUGCAAGGCUUGAGUGCGGCAGAGGAGACUGGAAUUCCUGGUGUAGCAGUGAAAUGCGUAGAUAUCAGGAGGAACACCGAUGGCGAAGGCAGGUCUCUGGGCUGAUACUGACGCUCAUGCACGAAAGCGUGGGGAGCAAACAGG
RNAcentral lists this ribosomal RNA (253 nucleotides) under uncultured bacterium. Its description in RNAcentral is "partial 16S ribosomal RNA". It matches the Rfam family "Bacterial small subunit ribosomal RNA", at positions 524 to 776 of the family's 1533-position model. The record is from RNAcentral.